Molecule: long non-coding RNA, 2330 nt
Organism: Peromyscus eremicus (cactus mouse)
Lineage: Eukaryota; Metazoa; Chordata; Mammalia; Rodentia; Cricetidae
Exons: 6
Source: RefSeq, a predicted model, not a curated record
AGGAGAGUCACCCUUACUUCAGAAAUACCCUGUGUAAAAACUGGGUUUCAGCCAGGUGGUGGUGGUGCACAGCUUUAAUCCCAGGGCUCAGGAGGCAGAGGCAGGAAGAUCUCUGUGAGUUCGAGGUCAACCUGGUCUACAGAGAGAGUUCUAGGACAGCCAGGGCUACACAGAGAAACCCUGUUUGGGAUGAUGGGAAGCUGGGCACCUGGAAAUAAUAAAACUGAAUAUUAACUCUACUUGAAGAUUGCAUCCCUUCCAAAUUCCAGAAUCCACUCUGUCUGAUGGCAAGGGAGACGUGUGGAUUCUAUUCUCACAGUUCUGUCUUCUCUGGGACAAGUUAGUGAUUUGGAACCCAGUUCUAUAGGCCAUGACUGCUCCUCAAUGCUUUGGAUCUGCAUAGAGAUAUUGAUGAAAGGUCUGGUGGAUCCCUCCCCCAGGCUCACAGAAAGAGAGGUUGGUGGCAUUACUCCAGCGAUCACUGUGGACAGGGAUGAUUAUUUGUGGCCACACUGCAUUAAAACCCUUGAAUUUCUCAAGGCCUGGGGAGUGUGUCUACCUCUCCUGUGUUUGGAGUUUCCGAUUAUCCAGGAGAUGUGGGAUGAAGAAGCCCAUCGGAUCCGUGAAUAGUGCUGGGAUAGGAUCAUUUGUUUGUGGAUGAUCUGGACGCCUGCUGAAAUUCUACCACUGAAAUGUUCAGCUCCGAAGAAAGCAAGUCAGCAAGUAGGCUUCCUCCAUGUUUUCAACUCUGGGUCCCUGACUUCCUCCGUAAUGGAAGCGUGAGGGCACCAACAACAGACUAAGGAAGCGAUUCCAUCCAAGUCCAGUUUGGUGAACCGGCAAGUUUAGAUUAGCUUACAGGACAGGAGUGUGUGGUGACCCAAAGGCAGACACAUCAUCUAGAAACCCUACCUCAACCUGGGUGACAAGAACGCCACAUCCUGGAGCUUCUGGACCAAGUGACUGACAGUGCCAUUAUGCACAGUCCCUGAGCAACUGUCUCCAGCUUUAAUCGUCUUUAGGGAGGAGCCUUGUGAAUCUGGAAAUGAAGCUGUUAAAAAAAUAAAAACUAUGAAAAGUACUCAAGACAAGAAGUGCUAUAUCAUAAUGACUCCGUUCCCAUAGUGAUGUCACAAGAUACGCAGAAACACUGGGGCCGCUUAGCAGUCAGCACAGGACUGUGGAUUGACGGUAAGCCGGUCGGUGGAUGGUGAAGGCUGCCUGUAGCCACAAAUUGCUUCCAAUAGCCAAAAUAUCACACACAUCAGAAGCAGAGAGCUAAAAGCAGUAAAUUCAAGAAUCCAGCUACCUUCAACACACCUGCAUGCACAAGUGUCUGAUAUUUUAAAAAAAACAGGAUAAAAACAAAAACAAAAAAAUCCCCUCAGCACUUUGGAAAUAAGCUAGGUCCAAAAUUAACCUCCUGUCAACCUCGACAAGACCACAGUGGUGUAAUUUGUCCUUGACUCUGGGUCGUCUUCACCAAUGUCAAGAUGUCUACACUCUACAACAUGCAGAGGUAGGACGAGGCGUGCCACAGACCGGAACCUGAGUCAUGUCCCUCAGUGCUGACGCUCUUUCCAGCACAUGGUAGGUAACAAUACCAACUGCUUACAUUGCCUAGAAGAAUCUGGGCUUCCGGGUGAGACCCGCCGCAGGACAAAGGGAAGCAUGACUCUGGAAUGCUAGGAAGGAAAGCAAAGCCUGUAAACCAGGAUGGCAGGUCGCAAUUAGACAGGGAGGCUCCACUCAAGCACACAGGAGAAGAUAAACCACAGUAACCGGAAACAAGACAGACAGACACAAACUGAAAAGUUUCCACAUGGCGACUUGCAGCAGGAAAGGUUGCCAGGGACUGAUUCUAUGUGGCUUUCGAGACGUCUUAGGAAGACAGAGUGGGUCCUGGCUCUGCUGCCCUGCCACCCUGACCAUCUCCCUUGGCUGUCUGGGAUGUGGUUGCAUCAUCUGUCACCAGAGCUCAUUCCCCAGUGCUUGUCCUGCGAGUCACAUUCGCAGCACUUGACACCAUGUGGCCAUCCUGCAACCCUGAGCUCCUCUGGCCUCCUGUUCUCUGGCACUCUUCCCGGCAGCCACUCUUUCUCAUCUCCUUCACUAGUUUCUCUUCCUGUGCUCACCUCUAAAAUGCCAGUUUCCCCGAAGCUUCUUCCUUUUGUGUCUCACCCUGGGCAAUCCCGUGGACGUCAUUGCUCUGACUACCACAGUGUUUCCCAAGCAUCUGUCUCCAGCCUCUGCCUCCUUCCGAUCUCACCAGCUCACUGACCACAGGAUUACACAUUUUCCUCCCUCCCUUCCCCCUUCUUCUUCUUCUU